This is a long non-coding RNA of Bos taurus (domestic cattle), 374 nucleotides long. Lineage: Eukaryota; Metazoa; Chordata; Mammalia; Artiodactyla; Bovidae. The record is from Ensembl.
AGUCGCUUCAGUCGUGUCCGACUCUGUGCAACCCCAUAGACGGCAGCCCACCAGGCUCCCCCGUCCCUGGGAUUCUCCAGGCAAGAACACUGGAGUGGGUUGCCAUUUCCUUCUCCAAUGCAUGAAAGUGGAAAGUGAAAGUGAAGUUGCUCAGUCAUGUCAGACCCUCAGCGACCCCAUGGACUGCAGCCUACCAGGCUCCUCCGUCCAUGGGAUUUUCCAGCCAAAAGACUCAGAGAAGAUCACUUACAGCAUUUUAGAACCAACAAUCCACUUGGUCAUUCCUCAAGGCUCCAAAAAAUAGACCUUUGAACAAUGACAGCUGGAAGAUCCUGAGGCAUCAGACACGGCUAAUAGAGGAUUCUCCUCCUGUU